This 497-nucleotide ribosomal RNA is filed under the name uncultured bacterium. Its description in RNAcentral is "partial 16S ribosomal RNA". It matches the Rfam family "Bacterial small subunit ribosomal RNA", at positions 28 to 507 of the family's 1533-position model. The record is from RNAcentral.
GACGAACGCUGGCGGCGUGCCUAACACAUGCAAGUCGAGCGGUGAAGCUUGGCGCUUGCGCCAAUCUGGAGAGCAGCGAACGGGUGAGUAACGCGUGGGGAAUCCGCCUUUGAGCGGGGGACAACAUUUGGAAACGAAUGCUAAUACCGCAUAACAACUUUAAACAUAAGUUUUAAGUUUGAAAUAUGCAAUUGCAUCACUCAAAGAUGAUCCCGCGUUGUGUUAGCUAGUUGGUGAGGUAAAGGCUCACCUAGGCGUGGAUACAUAGCCGACCUGAGAGGGUGGUCGGCCACCUUGGGACGGGGACACGGCACAAACGGCUACAGGAGCGAGCAGUAGGGCAACGGGGGCAAUGGGCGAGAGUCUGACCGAGAAACGCCGCGUGCGGGAGGAAGGAUUUCGGAUCGUAAAACUCGGUUGGUGGAGAAGAACGUUGGUGAGCGUGGAAAGCACAGCAAGUGACGGUAACUAGCCAAGAAGCGACGGCUAACUACGUG